RNAcentral lists this unclassified non-coding RNA (332 nucleotides) under soil metagenome. RNAcentral's name for it is "partial contains 5.8S ribosomal RNA, internal transcribed spacer 2, and large subunit ribosomal RNA". The stretch from base 1 to 120 matches the Rfam family "5.8S ribosomal RNA", at positions 35 to 154 of the family's 154-position model. The record is from RNAcentral.
GAUGAAGAACGUAGCAAAAUGCGAUAAGUAAUGUGAAUUGCAGAAUUCAGUGAAUCAUCGAAUCUUUGAACGCACAUUGCGCCCGCCAGUAUUCUGGCGGGCAUGCCUGUUCGAGCGUCAUUUCAACCCUCAAGCACAGCUUGGUGUUGGGACUCGCGUUAAUUCGCGUUCCCCAAAUUGAUUGGCGGUCACGUCGAGCUUCCAUAGCGUAGUAGUAAAACCCUCGUUACUGGUAAUCGUCGCGGCCACGCGGUUAAACCCCAACUUCUGAAUGUUGACCUCGGAUCAGGUAGGAAUACCCGCUGAACUUAAGCAUAUCAAUAAGCGGAGGA